Molecule: small RNA, 552 nt
Filed under: Pan troglodytes (chimpanzee)
Lineage: Eukaryota; Metazoa; Chordata; Mammalia; Primates; Hominidae
Description: processed transcript
Source: RNAcentral
AUGCGCUUGGGCUCCCUGGUGAAAAAGCAAAAUAUAAAAUUCGAUUCAAACUGUGAUUACAUCUAUGGAAAAUACAGCCUUUGCCGACCACCCUCUUUGUCCCGCCGCCCUCCGUGCUCCCCUCUGUUUUGUGUACGGAGUUUCUUACUUUGUACAAGUCCGCAGCCGCUUAAGUUACAGCCCCGAGGCCAGAUGCGUUUAAAAUCGAGGAGUUCUCGGAGUUUGGAAAGUUCGUUCCCACAUGCAGGGCAGCACAAGGAGAAUGGGCGUCAUGACUGAUGUCCACCGGCGCUUCCUCCAGUUGCUGAUGACCCAUGGCGUGCUAGAGGAAUGGGACGUGAAGCGCUUGCAGAGGCACUGCUACAAGGUCCAUGACCGUAUGUCCUUCAUCUCUCUGACCUCUGAGAAAGAGAAGCAGCGAUCCUUUCUGGCUCGCCUCCGCAUUGGUUGCUGAGGGUCUGCUGAGAGGCAAUGCCACCGUAGAUAAGUUGGAAGACUUCAUCAACAACAUUAACAGUGUAUUGGAGUCCUUGUAUAUUGAGAUAAAGAGAG